GACUCAGUGUUGUGGUGGAAUUAGCACGCGUCCACGGUAUGGAUGAAAUGCGGGUUCGAUUCCCGCCUGAGGCCA
Molecule: non-coding RNA, 75 nt
Organism: Parelaphostrongylus tenuis
Lineage: Eukaryota; Metazoa; Nematoda; Chromadorea; Rhabditida; Metastrongylidae
Source: the annotation of a GenBank genome assembly